UACGGGGGGGGCAAGCGUUGUUCGGAAUUACUGGGCGUAAAGGGCUCGUAGGUGGCCAACUAAGUCAGACGUGAAAUCCCCAGGCUUAACCUGGGAACUGCGUCUGAUACUGGAUGGCUUGAAUUCGGGAGAGGGAUGCAGGAUUCCAGGUGUAGCGGUGAAAUGCGUAGAUAUCUGGAGGAAUACCGGUGGCGAAGGCGGCAUCCUGGACCGAGAUUGACACUGAUGAGCGAAAGCUAGGGGAGCAAACGGG
This 253-nucleotide ribosomal RNA is filed under the name uncultured bacterium. RNAcentral describes it as "partial 16S ribosomal RNA". It matches the Rfam family "Bacterial small subunit ribosomal RNA", at positions 524 to 776 of the family's 1533-position model. The record is from RNAcentral.